RNAcentral lists this ribosomal RNA (806 nucleotides) under uncultured fungus. RNAcentral describes it as "SSU rRNA". It matches the Rfam family "Eukaryotic small subunit ribosomal RNA", at positions 564 to 1378 of the family's 1831-position model. Lineage: Eukaryota; Fungi. The record is from RNAcentral.
GUGCCAGCAGCCGCGGUAAUUCCAGCUCCAAUAGCGUAUAUUAAAGUUGUUGUGGUUAAAAAGCUCGUAGUUGAACCUUGGGCCUGGCUGGCCGGUCCGCCUCACCGCGUGCACUGGUCCGGCCGGGCCUUUCCCUCUGUGGAACCCCAUACCCUUCACUGGGCGUGGCGGGGAAACAGGACAUUUACUUUGAAAAAAUUAGAGUGCUCCAGGCAGGCCUAUGCUCGAAUACAUUAGCAUGGAAUAAUAAAAUAGGACGCGCGGUUCUAUUUUGUUGGUUUAUAGGACCGCCGUAAUGAUUAAUAGGGACAGUCGGGGGCAUCAGUAUUCAACUGUCAGAGGUGAAAUUCUUGGAUCAGUUGAAGACUAACUACUGCGAAAGCAUUUGCCAAGGAUGUUUUCAUUAAUCAGGAACGAAAGUUAGGGGAUCGAAGACGAUCAGAUACCGUCGUAGUCUUAACCAUAAACUAUGCCGACUAGGGAUCGGACGGUGUUAUUCAUGACCCGUUCGGCACCUUACGAGAAAUCAAAGUGCUUGGGCUCCAGGGGGAGUAUGGUCGCAAGGCUGAAACCUAAAGAAAUUGACGGAAGGGCACCACCAGGGGUGGAGCCUGCGGCUUAAUUUGACUCAACACGGGGAAACUCACCAGGUCCAGACACAAUAAGGAUUGACAGAUUGAGAGCUCUUUCUUGAUUUUGUGGGUGGUGUGCAUGGCCGUUCUUAGUUGGUGGGGUGACUUGUCUGCUUAAUUGCGAUAACGAACGAGACCUUAACCUGCUAAAUAGCCCGCAUUGCUCCGGCAGUG